Molecule: long non-coding RNA, 317 nt
Filed under: Trifolium pratense (red clover)
Lineage: Eukaryota; Viridiplantae; Streptophyta; Magnoliopsida; Fabales; Fabaceae
Description: long non-coding RNA (TPRA_LNC000332)
Source: RNAcentral
UUUUUAGUGUCAUAAUCUUUUUUUGUUUUCUGUUUUUAUACUAGAAAACUUUUCACAAUAUUUUUUUUUACUUAUUUGUAUUUGAAAAAAGAAACUUUGGGAUUGCUGAAUAAAAAACGAGACGAAAUAAAAGAGCAACGGAAUUAUCAUAGUUAUAAAAUAUUUAUUAUCAAACAAAAAAGAAAGGUGGUUAUUAGAUUAUUUACCGAAUCUGGGUUUGAUAGACCCGGUAUAUUUUAUAUUUUUUCCACGGACAAAAUAGAUUUCAUAUUUAUAAUAAAGUCGUAUGCUAUCUAAAAAAAAUAUUAGAACUAAAU